RNAcentral lists this unclassified non-coding RNA (337 nucleotides) under soil metagenome. RNAcentral's name for it is "partial contains 5.8S ribosomal RNA, internal transcribed spacer 2, and large subunit ribosomal RNA". The stretch from base 1 to 120 matches the Rfam family "5.8S ribosomal RNA", at positions 35 to 154 of the family's 154-position model. The record is from RNAcentral.
GAUGAAGAACGCAGCGAAAUGCGAAAAGUAGUGUGAAUUGCAGAAUUCAGUGAAUCAUCGAAUCUUUGAACGCACAUUGCGCCCCUUGGUAUUCCAUGGGGCAUGCCUGUUCGAGCGUCAUUUGUACCCUCAAGCUCUGCUUGGUGUUGGGUGUUUGUCCCGUUUCACGCGUGGACUCGCCUUAAAGCAAUUGGCAGCCGGCAUACUGGCCUUGGAGCGCAGCACAAUUUGCGCUUCUUGCCCUGAAUGUCAGCGUCCAUCAAGUCUACAUUUUUACUCUUGACCUCGGAUCAGGUAGGGAUACCCGCUGAACUUAAGCAUAUCAAUAAGCGGAGGA